RNAcentral lists this ribosomal RNA (497 nucleotides) under uncultured bacterium. Its description in RNAcentral is "partial 16S ribosomal RNA". It matches the Rfam family "Bacterial small subunit ribosomal RNA", at positions 28 to 507 of the family's 1533-position model. The record is from RNAcentral.
GAUGAACGCUGGCGGCGUGCCUAAUACAUGCAAGUCGAGCGAACAGACGAGGAGCUUGCUCCCCUGACGUUAGCGGCGGACGGGUGAGUAACACGUGGAUAACCUACCUAUAAGACUGGGAUAACUUCGGGAAACCGGAGCUAAUACCGGAUAAUAUAUUGAACCGCAUGGUUCAAUAGUGAAAGACGGUUUUGCUGUCACUUAUGGAUGGUUCCGCGGCGCAUUAGCUAGUGGGUAAGGUAACGGCUUACCAAGGCAACGAUCGGUAGCCGACCUGAGAGGGUGAUCGGCCACACUGGAACUGAGACACGGUCCAGACUCCUACGGGAGGCAGCAGUAGGGAAUCUUCCGCAAUGGGCGAAAGCCUGACGGAGCAACGCCGCGUGAGUGAUGAAGGUCUUCGGAUCGUAAAACUCUGUUAUUAGGGAAGAACAAAUGUGUAAGUAACUAUGCACGUCUUGACGGUACCUAAUCAGAAAGCCACGGCUAACUACGUG